AUACAUUUCUCGGCCUUUUGGCUAAGAUAAAAAUGUAAUGUUUGUUCUUAUUAGUUUAAUAUCUGGUAUCUAGACUAUAUGUUCACUUUGAUAUUAAUUUAUUUUUAUUGGUAUUCUUUGUAGGAGGAUUCAUCACAUUGGCUUACUAGGCCCUCAGAAGCCGCUUAGUCAUUGAACUGUUGGUAGAGCCUAACCCAC
This is a non-coding RNA of Zea mays, 198 nucleotides long. The record is from Rfam. NCBI's taxonomy places the organism in Eukaryota, Viridiplantae, Streptophyta, Magnoliopsida, Poales, Poaceae.